UCUACACUCCUUGGAAUUGACUCACGGUGCCACCCUUUAUGCCCAAUCGUAAAUAUCAGUUUUUCCCCCACAAUUCUAAUCUCACGUGAUUCAAUUUGCCCAAUCAUGUUAAACUUUUCCCACUGAUCUUCAUUAACCUGCUGAUUUACUUCGAAGCAUGAAAUCCCUUUAUUCAAAAAUGAACCAUAAUUGAUAAUUUCAAAUGGGUUGCAUGGAAGCCGUAAAUCACAGUUGUGAUUCUAAAUUCAAAUUGACCCCCUUCUCAAGCGUCCCCUCCCCCUUCUCCCCCUAUAUAACAUCCCAUUUCGUUUCAUCUAUAUAAGGAGCUUCUUGGCUAUUCAAGACUCAAUCAGAUCCUUCCCGUCGUUUUCCAUGGCUGUGAAAGUUAUGGUGUCUCAACCAUUGAUCUUUCCAAAGAGACUUCGAAUACCCUUCACCCUCCAAGGCGUUGACCUCUCAGAACCAUCUUAUUGAGGAGCCUCUACAGGGUCUAUUGUAGGAGGUGGAGAAGGAUUGUCCUGUUCAAGAAACUCUGGUGGAUUUCAUCUGGAGCCACAUUUUAAAGUAUACUUUCGUGAGAACAAUGUUAGGAGCAGGAAUGAUUUUCAGGCGAUAGGAAACAAGAUGAUCUAGAAAAACUUUGCUAAAGAAGAGAAAGUAUCCAAGGGAGGAAAUGUUGAAAGGAAUCAGCAGGAAGUACUUAAGGUAAUUGUUACAGAAUGCUUACCUCAAACCAAAUCCAAUGUGCCUUCAAUUUGGAAAAGCAAGAAGUACUUAAGACUCCAAUCAUGUUGUUUUACUCGCUUGGGUUUGACAGUUUUGGAACAUGUCAGUGGCGUCUGAUAAAAAGAUGUUGGCAAAGAGUCUGCUAAACCAUUGGAUGACAGUUUCAACUACUUAUAGUUGUCGAUUUGAAUACAAUUAGGAAUUGUAUCUUGAUGUUGUUUAGUUCUGGAAAUUGUAUUAGAGUGAGUGAUUCCUGAUGACACUACUAUUGCACUUUCACCUAAUUAAACUAGGAAUUGAAUCUUUAUUUUGUUUACUUCUGGUAAUUGUAUUGCUAAAACUCUUUUCUUUUUCCAAAAUAGGCAAUGAAAUCAUGGAUUCAAAGUGAAAUUAAAACACGCCAUACUAGCAAUAUUUCUG
This is a long non-coding RNA of Lotus japonicus, 1146 nucleotides long. RefSeq lists it as uncharacterized. Lineage: Eukaryota; Viridiplantae; Streptophyta; Magnoliopsida; Fabales; Fabaceae. The record is from RefSeq and is a predicted model, not a curated record. The transcript has 6 exons.